GAUGAACGCUGGCGGCGGGCCUAAUACAUGCGAGUCGAGCGAAAAGACGAGAGUGCUUGCACUUUCUGAGGUGAGCGGCGGACGGGUGAGUAAUACGUGGGUAACUGACCUAUAAGACUGGGUUAACUCCGGGAAACGGGAGCUAAAACCGAUUAAUACGCAGCUUCGCAUGGAGCAAUAGUGGAGGACCGUGCUACUGUCACUGACAGAUUGACCCUCGGUGUAUUAGCUAGUUGGUGAGGUAACGGCUCACCAAGGCUACGAUCCAUAGCCGAUCUGAGAGGGUGAUCGGCCACACUGGAACUGAGACACGGCCCAGACUCCUACGGGAGGCAGCAGUAGGGAAUCUUCCGCAAUGGACGAAAAUCUGACGGAGCAAUGCCGCGUGAGUGAAGAAGGUUUUCGGAUCGUAAAACUCUGUUGUAAGGGAAGAACAAGUACGUUAGUAACUGAACGUACCUUGACGGUACCCUACCAAAAAGCCCCGGCUAACUACGUG
RNAcentral lists this ribosomal RNA (499 nucleotides) under uncultured bacterium. Its description in RNAcentral is "partial 16S ribosomal RNA". It matches the Rfam family "Bacterial small subunit ribosomal RNA", at positions 28 to 507 of the family's 1533-position model. The record is from RNAcentral.